GGACCCGCACAAGUAGUGGAGCAUGUGGUUUAAUUCGAAGAUACGCGCAGAACCUUACCAACACUUGACAUGUUCGUCGCGACUCUAAGAGAUUAGAGUUUUCGGUUCGGCCGGACGAAACACAGGUGCUGCAUGGCUGUCGUCAGCUCGUGUCGUGAGAUGUUGGGUUAAGUCCCGCAACGAGCGCAACCCUCACUUUUAGUUGCCAUCAUUAAGUUGGGCACUCUGAAAGAACUGCCAGUGAUAAGCUGGAGGAAGGUGGGGAUGACGUCAAGUCCUCAUGGCCCUUACGUGUUGGGCUACACACGUGCUACAAUGGUAUCUACAACAGGAAGCGAGACGGCGACGUCAAGCAAAUCCUUAAAAAUAUCUCAGUUCGGAUUGCACUCUGCAACUCGAGUGCAUGAAGCUGGAAUUACUAGUAAUCG
RNAcentral lists this ribosomal RNA (428 nucleotides) under uncultured bacterium. RNAcentral's name for it is "bacterial SSU rRNA". It matches the Rfam family "Bacterial small subunit ribosomal RNA", at positions 917 to 1344 of the family's 1533-position model. The record is from RNAcentral.